RNAcentral lists this ribosomal RNA (545 nucleotides) under Parmotrema reticulatum. RNAcentral's name for it is "eukaryotic LSU rRNA". The stretch from base 199 to 352 matches the Rfam family "5.8S ribosomal RNA". Lineage: Eukaryota; Fungi; Ascomycota; Lecanoromycetes; Lecanorales; Parmeliaceae. The record is from RNAcentral.
UCAUUACUGAGAGAGGGGCUUCGCGCUCCCGGGGGUCUCGGCCCCCAACUCUUCACCCUGUGUGUAUCUACCUUUGUUGCUUUGGCGGACCUCGGGGGUCCCCUUCGCACUGGCUUUCGGGUCGGUGAGUGUCCGCCAGAGUCCUAUUUAAAUUCUGUUUAUCAGUGCCGUCCGAGUACCAAAUAUAAAUUAAGUAAAAACUUUCAACAACGGAUCUCUUGGUUCCAGCAUCGAUGAAGAACGCAGCGAAAUGCGAUAAGUAAUGUGAAUUGCAGAAUUCAGUGAAUCAUCGAAUCUUUGAACGCACAUUGCGCCCCUCGGUAUUCCGGGGGGCAUGCCUGUUCGAGCGUCAUUACACCCCUCAAGCUUGGCUUGGUAUUGGGCUCUCGCCCCCGUGGCGGGCCCGAAAAGCAGUGGCGGUCCGGCGUGACUUUAAGCGUAGUAAAUUUCAAUCCCGCUUUGAAAGUUCGCGUCGUGGCUCGCCAGGCAACCUUACGUAUAUCUACGUACCCUUCCAAUAAUUGACCUCGGAUCAGGUAGGGAUA